This 401-nucleotide ribosomal RNA is filed under the name uncultured bacterium. RNAcentral describes it as "bacterial SSU rRNA". It matches the Rfam family "Bacterial small subunit ribosomal RNA", at positions 356 to 774 of the family's 1533-position model. The record is from RNAcentral.
GGGGAAUCUUGCACAAUGGGGGCAACCCUGAUGCAGCGACGCCGCGUGAGCGAUGAAGCCCUUCGGGGCGUAAAGCUCUUUCGACCGGAACGAUAAUGACGGUACCGGGAGAAGAAGCUGCGGCUAACUACGUGCCAGCAGCCGCGGUAAUACGUAGGCAGCAAGCGUUGUUCGGAGUUACUGGGCGUAAAGAGUGCGUAGGCGGUUUUCUAAGUUCGGUGUGAAAUCUCCCGGCUUAACUGGGAGGGUGCGCCGAAGACUGGGAAGCUGGAGUGUGGGAAAGGCAGGCGGAAUUCCUGUUGUAGCGGUGAAAUGCGUAGAUAUCAGGAGGAACACCGGCGGUGUAGACGGCUUGCUAGACCAUAACUGACGCUGAGGCACGAAAGCGUGGGUAGCAAACA